UACAGAGGUCCCAAGCGUUGUUCGGAUUUACUGGGCGUAAAGGGAGCGUAGGUGGCAUUCUAAGUCUGCUGUGAAAGCUCUGAGCUUAACUCAGAAAUGGCAUUAGAUACUAGUUUGCUUGAGGAUUGGAGGGGAGAUUGGAAUUCUUGGUGUAGCAGUGAAAUGCGUAGAUAUCAAGAGGAACACCAGUGGCGAAGGCGAAUCUCUGGACAAUUCCUGACACUGAUACUCGAAAGCUAGGGGAGCAAACGGG
This 253-nucleotide ribosomal RNA is filed under the name uncultured bacterium. RNAcentral's name for it is "partial 16S ribosomal RNA". It matches the Rfam family "Bacterial small subunit ribosomal RNA", at positions 524 to 776 of the family's 1533-position model. The record is from RNAcentral.